CCCAUUCUUUAGCCAGACUCUCCGGCACAGAAUUCGUUCGCCUGCGCCGUGGAAUCGUUAUAUGUUUGCAGCUGGUCCUCCAUAAAGACAAUCACGUGAACAGCUCCAGCGCAGUAAAUCUGUCAAGUUUCUGUUGCAGCUUCGAGAAUAAACAUCAGAAAUGAGCCUAAAGAAAUGUCAAGUCGAUGUCGUUAUCGUAGGGUCAUGUAAUAUGGACCUGAUAAGCUAUGUGUCCCGAUUUCCCAAGCCUGGGGAAACCAUUCACGGAAAGCGAUUUAGCACAGGAUUUGGAGGAAAAGGAGCCAAUCAAUGUGUUAUGGCUUCAAGAUUAGGUGCAAGAACUGCUAUGGUGGGCAAGGUUGGAGAUGAUUCUUAUGGCAGAGAUACAAUAAAGAACUUUAAAGAUAACGAUGUCAUUACAGGUAAAUAUGAUCAUAUUAAUGACAAUACAUGAGAUUCGUAUAGCGCACUUUCCAUCUUGAUUAGAUGCUCAAGGCGCUUCAGAGCAGAACAACAAAAACUGUCUACAUAUAAUACUUGUCUGAACAAUAUGUCAAUGUCUAUCAAAAAGCACUCUUAAACAGGUAUGUUUCAGGUGGUAAUUUGAGAAUAUUUUAAGCAGUCAGUUUUAUAACUCAAUUCUAAUACUUAGCUUGUGAGUAUAUUGCUGAUUGAUCUACAUUAGCUUUGUCUUCACUCCAUUUAGUUUCAUCUCACAUGGUCUAAUCAUACUUCAUCUUCAAAUUUCAGCCCAUUAUGGUUUCUUAUUUCCAUUUAGGCUAUACCCAUUUUGUAUAAUAUUCACUAGACCAACUAGGCAACAGACUUUUCAAAAUUAAUGUGAAUGUGCAAAAUGCAAGCUGAAAAUGUUUACUGACCUGAAAAAAGCACAAUUCAAGGACUGUUUGUGGGAAUGCAUGAAGAGGAUAUAAAAAAAUGCAAAUGCGUAGUGGGGGCACCUUCAAUUUUGAAAAUAAGGUGUGAAAGAAAAACAUAUCUUAAAAAAAUUGAAAUUUUUACAACAAAUCUAAGUACAAAAAAAUGCUGCACUUAAUUCAAAACCCAUGUCAUUUUCACCAAAUUUUGCAUGGUCAUAGAGAAAGGUAUACUAAAAAGGUGUGAACACUAAAAUUGUGGGUUCAUGUGCUUGUUUUUAAACAAUACACACUUUUGUUGGAGCAAAUGUGCUUUUAAAAACACAAAAAUGCGGUCAUAUUCGUCAUACUUCACAGCACUGCAGAGUAAAGUAUUCUGAAGAGGCAAAGGCUUUUAAAAAGUUGGUUCGUAGAUUAUUUUCAGCUAAUAGCUUUGUAAAAUAAUAUAAUGUUUUGCUGUUAGAGUGCAGAUGCUUGGUAAAAUCAGCUGAUACUUGGAGCUGAUUGCUCAGAUUGAAAAAAAAAAUGGAGCUUUAUAUCAGUCGUUUAUGAUGGAUUAAAGUAGUAAAAAUAAUGACCCAAAUCAUAAUUGAAAAAGAAAAUUGAUUGUGUUAUUAGCAAAGUUUACUUUAAAAAAACAAUACCGGUACACAGAAACACAGGGAUUGUUAUUUUUCAUUUAAAAAAAGAAAAGACUGAUAUCCGCAUCGCAGAU
Molecule: long non-coding RNA, 1590 nt
Organism: Lytechinus pictus (painted urchin)
Lineage: Eukaryota; Metazoa; Echinodermata; Echinoidea; Temnopleuroida; Toxopneustidae
Exons: 3
Source: RefSeq, a predicted model, not a curated record